This is a microRNA precursor of human gammaherpesvirus 4 (Epstein-Barr virus), 87 nucleotides long. It matches the Rfam family "mir-BART9 microRNA precursor family". NCBI's taxonomy places the organism in Duplodnaviria, Heunggongvirae, Peploviricota, Herviviricetes, Herpesvirales, Orthoherpesviridae. The record is from Rfam.
CAGCUGUUGUUUGUACUGGACCCUGAAUUGGAAACAGUAACUUGGAUUCUGUAACACUUCAUGGGUCCCGUAGUGACAACUAUGCUG